This 1213-nucleotide ribosomal RNA is filed under the name uncultured eukaryote. RNAcentral's name for it is "SSU rRNA". It matches the Rfam family "Eukaryotic small subunit ribosomal RNA", at positions 577 to 1805 of the family's 1831-position model. The record is from RNAcentral.
CGGUAAUUCCAGCUCCAAUAGCGUAUAUUAAAGUUGUUGCGGUUAAAAAGCUCGUAGUUGGAGUUCUGCCAGGUGCCGUCUGUCCGCCCCAGUGGUGAGUACGUGACGCGCAUUUGGCCCUUUCAAGGGGAGCGUAUCUGCACUUUACUGUGUGGUGCGGGAUCCUUGACUUUUACUUUGAGGAAAUAGGAGUGUUCCAAGCAGGCUCUCGUCGUGCACAGCUCAGCAUGGAAUAAUAGCAUUGGACCUCGAUUCUAAGCUGUUGGUUGCCAGAAGCGAGGUAAUGAUGAAGAGGGAUAGUUGGGGGCAUUCGUAUUUAACUGUCAGAGGUGAAAUUCUUGGAUUUGCUAAAGACGGACUACUGCGAAAGCAUCUGCCAUGGAUGUUUUCAUUGAUCAAGAACGGAAGUUAGGGGAUCGAAGACGAUCAGAUACCGUCCUAGUCUUAACCAUAAACCAUGCCGACUAGAGAUUGGAGGUCGUUAUCUUUACGACUCCCUCAGCACCUUAUGAGAAAUCAAAGUCUUUGGGUUCCGGGGGGAGUAUGGUCGCAAGGCUGAAACUUAAAGGAAUUGACGGAAGGGCACCACCAGGAGUGGAGCCUGCAGCUUAACUUGACUCAACACGGGGAAACUCACCAGGUCCAGACAUAGUAAGGAUCGACAGAUUGAUAGCUCUUUCUUGAUUCUGUGGGUGGUGGUGCAUGGCCGUUCUUAGUUGGUGGAGUGAUUUGUCUGGUUAAUUCCGUUAGCGAACGAGACCCCAGCCUGCUAAAUAGCGCGGCUGAGCUUUGCUCGGUGCGAGCUUCUUAGAGGGACUAUGAUGCGCGAUAGCACAUGGAAGUUUGGGGCAAUAACAGGUCUGUGAUGCCCUUAGAUGUUCUGGGCCGCACACGGGCUACACUGGCGCCUGCAACGAGCAUAUCAGCUGGCCCGAGAGGGUCUUGGCUAAUCUUUUGAACCGGCGCCGUGCUUGGGAUUGACCUUUGCAAUUGUUGGUCAUGCAACGAGGAAUGCCUUGUAAACGCGAGUCAUCAGCUCGCAUUGAAUACGUCCCUGCCCUUUGUACACACCGCCCGUCGCUCCUACCGAUGAAUGUUCCGAUGAAAUUUUCGGAGAGCGCCAGAGAACGGGGCUCCGCCUUGCAGAUCUGGAGGCUCAAAGUCACUUAAAUCUGAACAUUUCGAGGAAGGAGAAGUCGUAACAAGGUAGCCG